ACAAGUGUGAGUGUCGUCUGCUUUUGUUUAGUUGAAAAUUUCGAAAAAGUCAGACCAAGUUCAAGAUUUAUACUCUAAUAGAAUUAUUUAUUUUUGAUAACCGUCAUACUCCAUGCUGUUUAGCGGGUAAAUGAAACUAAGUAUACAAAUUAAAUGAUUGUGGGAGCUAUAGAAGAGUUAAACCUGUUCCAAGAUUGCAAAAUAUUUGAGGCUGGAGCCAUCAUAACCACACAACAUGCAAGUUUUUCUUGUGCAGGUGAUAAACCUGUCAUUAUUAGCAACAAUCUCAGGAUCAUCGCUUGGAUAAGAAUCAUCCCAUUGCAUUGGAAAAACUACCGAUGUCGGCCGAGUGACGGAUCUAUCAUUUUACCCUUUCUUCAAAAUGACCUCGUGUACGCCCAUGUGAAUGUGGGUGUAUUCACGAGGACACCCUUUACCCUAUCCCGUCUGGGGUGAUUUAACUCUUCAUCGGAUGGAUGGAGCAACUGUAGAUGCCUGGCUGUAUUUCCCAGGCAUAAAGGUAGGAGACAAAAUUGAUCUCUAUUCUUCCUUUAUGACAAUUUUUUGGUGGGUUUGAUUAUGAAUCGUUGCGUAGUCACGGAUUAUGUUUCUUCCUGAGCUAGGCGUGUUGACUGCAAUUGUUUUCUCUCUCCGUUUUUGUUUUUUCUCAGUCAUGGUUCACUAAAAAAUCUCAUUUGUUGAACGACUGCAGAUCAGGCUUGUUUUGUUGUGUACCUCACAACUUUUUCUGUGGGUAAACCAUAUUCACAUUCAAAAACAUUUGAGCUUUAAACACUUCGAGGGUUCAAGCAAAGUGCAACAAGACCAAGAGGGACCUGCCGCCACACCGGAACCUUCUCGUUCAUUUAUGGGAAAAACACGAAAAUGAUCUUACGUAACAGAACCUCCGUUAGGGUGAAUUAACUCACGUGAAUGUACAAAUAUCUCAAGGCUAUGCCAAACCCGUGCAGACUGUACAUGCGUCUACCUUUUGUUUGCUAUUGCUAAGCAGCUAGCUAGCAGCUACAGAAUCCGAAAACUUCCUUUUUUCUUAGAUUAACAAUUUUUUCUACGCCUUUCUAAAUGUUAUAUUAUAUUGUGAGAGAUAAAAGAUAAAUCCGAGUUGUAUUAGACGAAUUAGCUAAAGUAAUUCAACAGAGUGAGGUGUGAAAAAAAAUCUGGUAGAAAUGGUAUUUUAGUAAUAAUUUAGUGUCAGUAAUUUCUUGGAAUUGAUGAAUUAAUUUUAUCAAGACUGGUUUUCUUUGCCGUUCUCCUUUCAAGAUCGAGUGCUGCUUUUAAGGCAAGAAUAUAUCCUUGGCUAUUUUCCAACCGCUAUACCUUUAAUUUUAAAAAAAGAAUGGUAAUAAUUAGUAAACUCUUUUAAAUUUGCGGUAUAUGCGUGUCUUUACUGUCGCCUUGUCCGAACGCUAAAUUGCCUAGCGGCGUCGCAAUAGCUCCGCCAAUGCCCAGACCGAUCCCAAAUCCACCUGCGCAGUUUAUUGCCAAUGUUGUUAUAGGGGCAGUUCACUCUAGAAAGAAAUUUGAAGUGUCGUAAAACAUACCUGGCCCAACGUUUGCUAUGCCAGUUCCUUGGCCGAUAGCAGCACCAUCUAAGGAUUGAGGUUUUUUUUUUUUUUUUAAGAAAUUAUUAUUCGAAAUAUCUAUUUUGAAAAAUUAAUAAUUUCCAUUCGCCAGCGCACCUUGUACGGCACCAUUGCCAGCACCACCGGCUGUGGCUGAGCCAAACUGGCCACCGUUUAGCAUUCCUAGAACUUUGCACAAAACACAGGACAAAAAGAAUAGUAUGAUUAAACUGAAAGAAGAAGAAAGCGAAUGUUUCUCUUACGCUUAUUAAUGUCGUUAUUUGAUUCCGUCGAUCCUCCCGGAGUGAACAAGGACCCUGGGUUUUUAGGUGCAGCGCUGGCAUCUGGAACAGCAGCCACUUCUCCUGUAGGACUAGCCACAGGAGUUACUGGUGCUGGAACAACGGCCUCCGGAGUUUUGUGAGGAACAGCCUCUACAGCCGGUGUGGCUGAGACCGCAGGUUGCGGUUGCUGUUGUCCAUUAGCAAGUAAUCCGGACAAAAUGCCACCGGGUCGGAGGAAAGGUCGAGGUCUGUUCGGUCUCUGAAAGAAAGGUUGUUGUUGUCCUAGUUGAAGAAAUUGGGGGUCAGGUACGGGCACUGCUAAUCCAAUCCCGAAUAGGGCGGUAACAACAAGAAGUAACUGUAGCACCUUCAUCUGUAAAAUGCAAGUUUAAUAUAUCCUUAAAAAUUUAGCAAGAGAAAUGAAAAACAAUUUCGCGGUGCUCCAAAAAAGUUGUUGUCUUGUUUUCAAAGGCGCAGCAGCGAAAUCAUAAAAAAAAGCUGUUUUGUUUUUCGAUUGCGUGUAUACCUUUGAAAAGUAGCUAUAAUAACCGACUUUACAGGUGAGACAAAAUAUCGAACAAAACCUAGAAAAUCAAAGAGCGACACACCACUCCAGUCGAACCGUCCGUCGGGGUUUAUCGCGUACGAAAGACUGAAAUGGUCAAAGGCCUUGUGCGCGCUAGAGAGAAACUCUCCCCAGCGCAGUGGAUUUUUCAAGCGCAGGUAUAGUCUGCAAACACACCCAAGUAGCUACACACUACAAGUCUUUUUAUUUUUGUAUUUUUUUUUUUUUUAAGAAAUAACCCUGUCUUCUUUUGAGGAGAGAACUGUGACUCACACGGUCUCGAGUCUCGACACUACGGCAACUGCGUUCUUAUUAGCUCAAGGUCCAUUUAUAAACAACUAGCCUUGCAUUGGACUGUCGACUGACGAUUUAUUGUUCAGACAACAUGCGAUUCGAAACGCAUUGGGAUAUUCGGCGGAUCUCCUUUCAGCUUGUGUAUGUAACGUAAUUCAUUUGUUAAUAAUCCGGAAAUGGGCUCAUCAGUUGACGUCUGUCAAAGUCUGGGAAAUACCAUUGACACACGUAUUAAUUUGGCUUCUCAAAAUGGUCACUCUGGGAAAUUUUUCUUUUCCCGGAUACGCGGGGCGGGAUUAAUUAUUAUAUAACGUUGAGAAAUCGGUACUUAUAACGAUGGGGUUUUCUUGACAUCCUUGUUCUUUCUUUUGCAACUUUUAAAAUUAUUAUUUCUUCUACAAUUAUUAGGAUUUUUAAGAGAUUUUUUAAUUGUAAAUAAUCAAUCUAACCAAUUAUAAUGAGUUGACACCAGAUUAGACCAGUUAUUUAGUCGUGUAUUUCCCUGAAAACAUUAUACAGACCAAGGGCACGGUAUUAUCGACCGAGGACGACCGCAUGACCAGCAGUAAGAAAGCCACAACCACAAUCGCACCUUUUGUUUGUACACACGGAUACACAAUUAUUGGUUAGUCUAUACGUGUGUCAACAAGUUAACAUAUUCUUGAGAGAAAAAUUACUUGAACAAUAUUGAGCUUUAUCUUCCAACUGCAACUCCGCUGCCUUGUCCAAAGGCUAAAUUUCCGAGCGGGGUCUGAAUUGCACCUCCGAUUCCCAAGCCAAUGCCAAAUCCACCUGAUUGUUGUGGCACACAUAAGAUGGUUAAUUGAAUUGUUGACUCUGGUGUGCAAUCCAAAUCAAAUCAUACCAAAUCCGACGUUAGCGACACCUGUUCCUGAGCCUGUGGCUGAGCCGUUUUGAACGGCCCCACUUCCCGCUCCGCCAGCCGUUGCGUUCCCUUUUUGAGAAUGAUUCAAAAGCUGCCACACUAUAUUUGAAGUGGAAAAACUUGAUAUUAAAACCAGUUAUUGGAACUGAAUUAUUAUCUUCAAUCUAUUCAAUAAUUAAUCAAAUGGCUAACAUUCCCAGACAUUUAGUGCCCUUCGCAUUUAGACCCCGUUAUUGACAAUGCGUCUUAUUGUUUGCACGCUAAUGUCUACGUAUUCCACGAAAAACAUUGCGAAAGAGAGUAAAAGAAAACGCUAGAUGUCGCCAUGUCCUGUUACCAUGGGAAAUCAAUUUCAAUCAAUUUAAAAAUGAUGGCACAGGUAUAUUCUUACGUGAUCCGAUGAGAGAGUCGGGACUUGAUUGGUUCUCUUGCAGAGUCUGGUUUCCCUGUAGUGUUGGCGCUACUAAAGGAGUUGCGUUUUCAAAAAAUGGAGACGUCUCAGGCGUUGCUGGAAAUGUCGGAGCUUCUUCUUGCGGGUAAAACGGGAACCCUUGUUGCGGUGGGAAAGGUGGCGAGGAUUCGUGAUUUUGGAAUAAUGGGGCCAACGCUUGCUGAUGGGUUGGAGGUAGAAGAUUAAACGGCUCUUGACUUUCCUCGGGGAAAACUUGCGAUGAGAGACCUCCUCCAUUCCACCCAGCGUUGUUCACGCCGACGGCCUCUGGACCGUGGCCGCCAUAUCCUGUUCCUUGCUGACCAUACUCAGCGAGUUGCUGGUAAUUUGGAUAGCCUUCUUCGUAUCCCGAGAAAAGAGGAUGUUCGCCAUCAGCAUUGCUCAGGGCAUUUUCUUUGAACUGUUUUUCGGUUUCUGCUUCGUCGGACAUUUCGGUUGUUGUUUCUUGACUAGGACGAGCAGCUGUUAGAGCGAAAGUCAACGCAACCAAAAUUCCAAUCGAUCUUUUCAUUUUUUAAACUAACCUGCAUUUUUAUUCUUCUUAUUAGUAACAAGUCAAAAGUCAAAAGGAAAUAGUUUUACUCAAAAAACGACGAUGUUCUUUUCUCUUUUUUACAGUUUUGCGGAAGGUGUUUAUUCGAUUAAAACAUUUAAACUACGUACCGGUACCGUGUAAUAACAUUUUAGCGAAACCAAAACUUUACCGUAUUUUAAUCACAGCUAUUUCCUUUUGCUAUUAAUUUCUUAGCGGCAAAAAUUUGCAGCACCUGCCGAGUUUUCUUCAAUUAAAAGACGACAAGUUCUGUUGGAGGUCUGGAGCUGAAGAGUGCGAUGAAACAACUGUCAUUGGGCACUUGAAAACAUCCUCCGAGUAAUUUUAUUUCGGGGGGAAAUUUUCGUCAUUUCCGUUUGCUGUUAGACGCGUGGUUAUUGCCCGAUUCACGGCGAGAAAUCUAUUUUCUUUUAUUUUUUAAACUUUUGUACAGAACUGAUGCGAAGCAGUUUCAGCCGGUUUAUGAACAAGGUCAAACUACAACUAGCUAUAGGUGUGUCAUUUAUGGAGCGCUCUUAAAAAUGUUGUUCACGUCUACCUUUCGUUCACCUCUACAACACUGCUGAUAGCGCUUCUGUUGCAUAGCGCUUCUUCCAUUCGCCAUUGGCAAUCGACAGCACUUCUUUGUAAGAAACAAUAAGCACAAAAUGGUAAAUCAUUUUAAAUGUGUAUUGGAUUCACUAAUCAGAAAGAAGGAAUACAAGAUCAAUUGGUGUCCGCCAAAGAUGAAAUUGAUAGGUGUAUAGCAAUUAGAUCAGUAACAUCUCAGUUUUUGAUUUCCUAUUUACGAGCCUAUUUACCGACUGAAAUGCUUUCACCUUGACCGAAGGCUAGGUUACCAAGCGGAGUGGCCACAGCGCCACCAACACCGAGACCAAUACCAAAUCCGCCUGUUUGAUUUAUGAAAAUGAUUGGGUGAAAUCAGUAUAACAUCCACCUUAUUAUGGGGUUACCUUGUCCAGCGUUAGCGAUUCCGGUUCCUUGUCCGAUGGCUUGGUUCCCUACGACAGAACCACUGCCGAGUCCAGCAGCGUUCGCUCCUCCUAAACCUUUGAGAGAUGAUAGAAUAUAGAAACGUAUUUAACGAUUUUAAUGAAUUUGAUUGAUUUUCUGACCACCUGCUCCAGGUAAGAAACCGCCAGCAAUGGGUCUGUUUGGUCUCUGAGGUCUCUGGGGUCUUCCAAGCGCACUUCCAACCAUUGCAACCAC
This is a long non-coding RNA of Daphnia pulex (common water flea), 5825 nucleotides long. RefSeq lists it as uncharacterized. The record is from RefSeq and is a predicted model, not a curated record. The transcript is spliced from 3 exons. Lineage: Eukaryota; Metazoa; Arthropoda; Branchiopoda; Diplostraca; Daphniidae.